RNAcentral lists this ribosomal RNA (253 nucleotides) under uncultured bacterium. Its description in RNAcentral is "partial 16S ribosomal RNA". It matches the Rfam family "Bacterial small subunit ribosomal RNA", at positions 524 to 776 of the family's 1533-position model. The record is from RNAcentral.
UACGGAGGGUGCAAGCGUUGUUCGGAAUAACUGGGCGUAAAGAGCACGUAGGCGGGUUUUUAAGUCAGAUGUGAAAUCCCUGAGCUCAACUUGGGACGUGCAUUUGAAACUGGAGAUCUUGAAUGUCUAAGGGGUUGAUGGAAUUCCAGGUGUAGGAGUGAAAUCCGUAGAUAUCUGGAGGAACACCGGAGGCGAAGGCGGUCAACUGGUAGAGCAUUGACGCUGAGGUGCGAAAGCGUGGGGAGCAAACAGG